RNAcentral lists this ribosomal RNA (563 nucleotides) under Trichoderma viride. Its description in RNAcentral is "eukaryotic LSU rRNA". The stretch from base 205 to 358 matches the Rfam family "5.8S ribosomal RNA". The record is from RNAcentral. Lineage: Eukaryota; Fungi; Ascomycota; Sordariomycetes; Hypocreales; Hypocreaceae.
GGCGGGAGACGCGGAGGAUCUUACGAGUUUACACUCCCAAACCCAAUGUGAACGUUACCAAACUGUUGCCUCGGCGGGGUCACGCCCCGGGUGCGUCGCAGCCCCGGAACCAGGCGCCCGCCGGAGGAACCAACCAAACUCUUUCUGUAGUCCCCUCGCGGACGUAUUUCUUACAGCUCUGAGCAAAAAUUCAAAAUGAAUCAAAACUUUCAACAACGGAUCUCUUGGUUCUGGCAUCGAUGAAGAACGCAGCGAAAUGCGAUAAGUAAUGUGAAUUGCAGAAUUCAGUGAAUCAUCGAAUCUUUGAACGCACAUUGCGCCCGCCAGUAUUCUGGCGGGCAUGCCUGUCCGAGCGUCAUUUCAACCCUCGAACCCCUCCGGGGGAUCGGCGUUGGGGAUCGGGACCCCUCACACGGGUGCCGGCCCCGAAAUACAGUGGCGGUCUCGCCGCAGCCUCUCCUGCGCAGUAGUUUGCACAACUCGCACCGGGAGCGCGGCGCGUCCACGUCCGUAAAACACCCAACUUUCUGAAAUGUUGACCUCGGAUCAGGUAGGAAUUGCAC